RNAcentral lists this ribosomal RNA (253 nucleotides) under uncultured bacterium. RNAcentral describes it as "partial 16S ribosomal RNA". It matches the Rfam family "Bacterial small subunit ribosomal RNA", at positions 524 to 776 of the family's 1533-position model. The record is from RNAcentral.
UACGGGGGGGGCAAGCGUUGUUCGGAAUUACUGGGCGUAAAGGGUUCGUAGGUGGCUUGCUAAGUCAGACGUGAAAUCCCUCAGCUUAACUGGGGAACUGCGUCUGAGACUGGUGAGCUCGAGUGCAGGAGAGGAACGCAGAAUUCCAGGUGUAGCGGUGAAAUGCGUAGAUAUCUGGAGGAAUACCGGUGGCGAAGGCGGCGUUCUGGACUGCAACUGACACUGAAGAACGAAAGCCAGGGGAGCAAACGGG